RNAcentral lists this transfer RNA (72 nucleotides) under Camelus bactrianus (Bactrian camel). It matches the Rfam family "tRNA". Rfam says of the family: Transfer RNA (tRNA) molecules are approximately 80 nucleotides in length. Lineage: Eukaryota; Metazoa; Chordata; Mammalia; Artiodactyla; Camelidae. RNAcentral also lists the same sequence under 2 other names. The record is from Rfam by way of RNAcentral.
GAGGGUGUAGCUCAGUGGUAGAGCACAUGCUUAGCAUGCACGAGGUCCUGGAUUCAAUCACCAGUACCUCCA